CGGAAAGGUCCGCCCGCUGAGGGAUGAGGUCUGCGUCCGAUUAGGUUGUUGUUGGGGUAACGGCCCAACAAGCCUUUGAUCGGUACGGGUUGUGGGAGCAAGAGCCCGGAGAUGGAUUCUGAGACAUGAAUCCAGGCCCUACGGGGCGCAGCAGGCGCGAAAACUUUACAAUGCGAGCAAUCGUGAUAAGGAAACCCUGAGUGCCUGUCAAUGCAGGCUGUUCUGGUGUCUAACACACACCAGGAGAAAGGGCGGGGCAAGACCGGUGCCAGCCGCCGCGGUAAUACCGGCUGCUCGAGUGAUAGCCACUUUUACUGGGCUUAAAGCGUUCGUAGCUUGGUCGUUAAGUCUCUGGGGAAAUCUUUUGGCUCAACCAAAAGGCGUCUCAGGGAAACUGACGAUCUUGGAACCGGGAGAGGUAAGACGUACUUCGGGGGUAGGAGUGAAAUCUUGUAAUCCCCGAGGGACGACCGAUGGCGAAGGCAUCUUACCAGAACGGCUUCGACAGUGAGGGACGAAAGCUGGGGGAGCAAACCGGAUUAGAUACCCGGGUAGUCCCAGCCGUAAACGAUGUGCGUUAGGUGUGUCAGUGACCACGAGUCGCUGAGGUGCCGAAGGGAAACCGUGAAACGCACCGCCUGGGAAGUACGGUCGCAAGGCUGAAACUUAA
This 670-nucleotide ribosomal RNA is filed under the name uncultured Methanocalculus sp. RNAcentral describes it as "bacterial SSU rRNA". It matches the Rfam family "Archaeal small subunit ribosomal RNA", at positions 186 to 859 of the family's 1478-position model. The record is from RNAcentral. Lineage: Archaea; Methanobacteriati; Methanobacteriota; Methanomicrobia; Methanomicrobiales; Methanocalculaceae.